RNAcentral lists this ribosomal RNA (119 nucleotides) under Pteropus alecto (black flying fox). Lineage: Eukaryota; Metazoa; Chordata; Mammalia; Chiroptera; Pteropodidae. The record is from RNAcentral.
GUCUAUGGCCAUGCCACUCUGAACGUGCCCAAUCUCAUUUUAUCUUGGAAGCUAAGCAGGGUCGGGCCUGGUUAGCACUUGGAUGGGAGACCACCUAGGUAGACCAGGUGCUGUAAGCA